This 67-nucleotide transfer RNA is filed under the name Marmota monax (woodchuck). RNAcentral describes it as "tRNA.Ala". Lineage: Eukaryota; Metazoa; Chordata; Mammalia; Rodentia; Sciuridae. The record is from RNAcentral.
GGUGUAGGCUUAGUGGUAGAGCAUACCCUUGGCAUUUGCAAUGCCCUGGGUUCAAUCCCCAGCACCA